RNAcentral lists this ribosomal RNA (1478 nucleotides) under uncultured bacterium. RNAcentral describes it as "bacterial SSU rRNA". It matches the Rfam family "Bacterial small subunit ribosomal RNA". The record is from RNAcentral.
AGAGUUUGAUCAUGGCUCAGGAUGAACGCUAGCGGCAGGCUUAACACAUGCAAGUCGAGGGGUAACAGAGUAGCUUGCUACUGCUGACGACCGGCGCACGGGUGCGUAACGCGUAUACAAUCUACCUUAUACUGGGGUAUAGCCUUUAGAAAUGAAGAUUAACCCCCCAUAGUCUCUAAGAGUGGCAUCACAUUUAGAGUAAAGGUUACGGUAUAAGAUGAGUAUGCGUUCUAUUAGUUUGUUGGUGAGGUAACGGCUUACCAAGACUACGAUAGAUAGGGGCCCUGAGAGGGGGAUCCCCCACACUGGUACUGAGACACGGACCAGACUCCUACGGGAGGCAGCAGUGAGGAAUAUUGGACAAUGGAGGCAACUCUGAUCCAGCCAUGCCGCGUGUAGGAUGACUGCCCUAUGGGUUGUAAACUACUUUUAUACAGGAAGAAACACCUCUACGUGUAGAGGCUUGACGGUACUGUAAGAAUAAGGAUCGGCUAACUCCGUGCCAGCAGCCGCGGUAAUACGGAGGAUCCAAGCGUUAUCCGGAAUCAUUGGGUUUAAAGGGUCCGUAGGUGGAUAAUUAAGUCAGAGGUGAAAUCUUGCAGCUCAACUGUAAAAUUGCCUUUGAAACUGGUUAUCUUGAGUUAUUAUGAAGUAGUUAGAAUAUGUAGUGCAGCGGUGAAAUGCAUAGAUAUUACAUAGAAUACCAAUUGCGAAGGCAGAUUACUAAUAAUCAACUGACACUGAUGGACGAAAGCGUGGGUAGCGAACAGGAUUAGAUACCCUGGUAGUCCACGCCGUAAACGAUGGUUACUAGCUGUUUGGACUUCGGUCUGAGUGGCUAAGCGAAAGUGAUAAGUAACCCACCUGGGGAGUACGUUCGCAAGAAUGAAACUCAAAGGAAUUGACGGGGGCCCGCACAAGCGGUGGAGCAUGUGGUUUAAUUCGAUGAUACGCGAGGAACCUUACCAGGGCUUAAAUGUAAGUUGCAUUAGUUAGAGAUAGCUAUUUCUUCGGACCACUUACAAGGUGCUGCAUGGUUGUCGUCAGCUCGUGCCGUGAGGUGUCAGGUUAAGUCCUAUAACGAGCGCAACCCCUGUUGUUAGUUGCCAGCGAGUCAUGUCGGGAACUCUAACAAGACUGCCAGUGCAAACUGUGAGGAAGGUGGGGAUGACGUCAAAUCAUCACGGCCCUUACGUCCUGGGCUACACACGUGCUACAAUGGUAGGGACAGAGAGCAGCCACUGGGCGACCAGGAGCGAAUCUAUAAACCCUAUCACAGUUCGGAUCGGAGUCUGCAACUCGACUCCGUGAAGCUGGAAUCGCUAGUAAUCGGGUAUCAGCCAUGAUCCGGUGAAUACGUUCCCGGGCCUUGUACACACCGCCCGUCAAGCCAUGGAAGUUGGAAGUGCCUGAAGUCCGUCACCGCAAGGAGCGGCCUAGGGUAAAGUCGAUAACUAGGGCUAAGUCGUAACAAGGUA